GACGAACGCUGGCGGCGUGCUUAACACAUGCAAGUCGAACGGAAAGGCCCUGCUUUUGUGGGGUGCUCGAGUGGCGAACGGGUGAGUAACACGUGAGUAACCUGCCCUUGACUUUGGGAUAACUUCAGGAAACUGGGGCUAAUACCGGAUAGGAGCUCCUGCUGCAUGGUGGGGGUUGGAAAGUUUCGGCGGUUGGGGAUGGACUCGCGGCCUAUCAGCUUGUUGGUGGGGUAGUGGCUUACCAAGGCUUUGACGGGUAGCCGGCCUGAGAGGGUGACCGGCCACAUUGGGACUGAGAUACGGCCCAGACUCCUACGGGAGGCAGCAGUGGGGAAUAUUGCACAAUGGGCGGAAGCCUGAUGCAGCAACGCAGCGUGCGGGAUGACGGCCUUCGGGUUGUAAACCGCUUUCGCCUGUGACGAAGCGUGAGUGACGGUAAUGGGUAAAGAAGCACCGGCUAACUACGUG
Molecule: ribosomal RNA, 468 nt
Filed under: uncultured bacterium
Lineage: Bacteria
Description: partial 16S ribosomal RNA
Rfam family: Bacterial small subunit ribosomal RNA
Source: RNAcentral